AGCGAACGCUGGCGGCAGGCCUAACACAUGCAAGUCGAACGAACUCUUCGGAGUUAGUGGCGGACGGGUGAGUAACACGCGGGAACGUGCCUUUUGGUUCGGAAUAACUCAGGGAAACUUGUGCUAAUACCGAAUGUGCCCUUCGGGGGAAAGAUUUAUCGCCAUUAGAGCGGCCCGCGUCUGAUUAGCUAGUUGGUGAGGUAACGGCUCACCAAGGCGACGAUCAGUAGUUGGUCUGAGAGGAUGACCAGCCACACUGGGACUGAGACACGGCCCAGACUCCUACGGGAGGCAGCAGUGGGGAAUCUUGCGCAAUGGGCGAAAGCCUGACGCAGCCAUGCCGCGUGAAUGAUGAAGGUCUUAGGAUUGUAAAAUUCUUUCACCGGGGACGAUAAUGACGGUACCCGGAGAAGAAGCCCCGGCUAACUUCGUG
RNAcentral lists this ribosomal RNA (433 nucleotides) under uncultured bacterium. Its description in RNAcentral is "partial 16S ribosomal RNA". It matches the Rfam family "Bacterial small subunit ribosomal RNA", at positions 29 to 507 of the family's 1533-position model. The record is from RNAcentral.